CCUGUGGUUUUGUUUUUCUCUUUUUCUUAUCAAUUUCAUUUUUUUUUCCCUUAAAUCAGUAAUAAAGUUGAAAUUAAAGGGUACUAAAGUGAAUAUUUGAUAAAUCUAGAUGGAUAUCUGAAGUUUUUUUGUAUAUAAUUUAACGAAAUAUUAACAAAAAAACUACCGAAAAGAUAAAAACGAAAUCACAGGGGGGCAAAUUGAUACACUUUAAACCACAUGGGGGCAAAG
RNAcentral lists this long non-coding RNA (231 nucleotides) under Ananas comosus (pineapple). Its description in RNAcentral is "long non-coding RNA (ACOM_LNC014701)". Lineage: Eukaryota; Viridiplantae; Streptophyta; Magnoliopsida; Poales; Bromeliaceae. The record is from RNAcentral.